RNAcentral lists this ribosomal RNA (495 nucleotides) under uncultured bacterium. Its description in RNAcentral is "partial 16S ribosomal RNA". It matches the Rfam family "Bacterial small subunit ribosomal RNA", at positions 29 to 506 of the family's 1533-position model. The record is from RNAcentral.
AUGAACGCUGGCGGCGUGCCUAAUACAUGCCCGUCGAGCGAACAGACGAGGAGCUUGCUCCUCUGACGUUAGCGGCGGACGGGUGAGUAACACGUGGAUAACCUACCUAUAAGACUGGGAUAACUUCGGGAAACCGGAGCUAAUACCGGAUAAUAUAUUGAACCGCAUGGUUCAAUAGUGAAAGACGGUUUUGCUGUCACUUAUAGAUGGAUCCGCGCCGCAUUAGCUAGUUGGUAAGGUAACGGCUUACCAAGGCAACGAUGCGUAGCCGACCUGAGAGGGUGAUCGGCCACACUGGAACUGAGACACGGUCCAGACUCCUACGGGAGGCAGCAGUAGGGAAUCUUCCGCAAUGGGCGAAAGCUUGACGGAGCAACGCCGCGUGAGUGAUGAAGGUCUUCGGAUCGUAAAACUCUGUUAUUAGGGAAGAACAAAUGUGUAAGUAACUAUGCACGUCUUGACGGUACCUAAUCAGAAAGCCACGGCUAACUACGU